Molecule: ribosomal RNA, 438 nt
Filed under: uncultured bacterium
Lineage: Bacteria
Description: bacterial SSU rRNA
Rfam family: Bacterial small subunit ribosomal RNA
Source: RNAcentral
AACGAACGCUGGCGGCAGGCUUAACACAUGCAAGUCGAACGGGCGCGAGCAAUCGCGUCAGUGGCAGACGGGUGAGUAACACGUGGGAACCUUCCUAGGGGUACGGAACAACUCAGGGAAACUUGAGCUAAUACCGUAUACGUCCGUAAGGAGAAAGAUUCAUCGCCCCUAGACGGGCCCGCGUCGGAUUAGCUAGUUGGUGGGGUAACGGCCUACCAAGGCGACGAUCCGUAGCUGAUCUGAGAGGAUGAUCAGCCACACUGGGACUGAGACACGGCCCAGACUCCUACGGGAGGCAGCAGUGGGGAAUCUUGGACAAUGGGCGCAAGCCUGAUCCAGCCAUGCCGCGUGAGUGAAGAAGGCCUUAGGGUUGUAAGCUCUUUUACCAGGGACGAUAAUGACGGUACCUGGAGAAUAAGCCCCGGCAAACUUCGUGCC